UACGUAGGGGUCUAGCGUUGUCCGGAAUUAUUGGGCGUAAAGAGCUCGUAGGCGGUUCGGCAAGUCGGAUGUGAAAUCUCCACGCUUAACGUGGAGGGGCCAUUCGAAACUGCCGUGACUCGAGUCCGGUAGGGGAGUGCGGAAUUCCCGGUGUAGCGGUGAAAUGCGCAGAUAUCGUAAGGAAGACCAGUGGCGAAGGCGGGUCUCUGGACAGUUCCUGACGCUGAGGCACGAAGGUCAGGGGAGCAAACGGG
Molecule: ribosomal RNA, 254 nt
Filed under: uncultured bacterium
Lineage: Bacteria
Description: partial 16S ribosomal RNA
Rfam family: Bacterial small subunit ribosomal RNA
Source: RNAcentral